This 498-nucleotide ribosomal RNA is filed under the name uncultured bacterium. RNAcentral describes it as "partial 16S ribosomal RNA". It matches the Rfam family "Bacterial small subunit ribosomal RNA", at positions 30 to 523 of the family's 1533-position model. The record is from RNAcentral.
AUUGAACGCUGGCGGCAUGCCUUACACAUGCAAGUCGAACGGUAACAGGUCUUCGGAUGCUGACGAGUGGCGAACGGGUGAGUAAUACAUCGGAACGUGCCUAGUAGUGGGGGAUAACUACUCGAAAGAGUGGCUAAUACCGCAUGAGAUCUACGGAUGAAAGCAGGGGAUCGCAAGACCUUGUGCUACUAGAGCGGCCGAUGGCAGAUUAGGUAGUUGGUGGGAUAAAAGCUUACCAAGCCGACGAUCUGUAGCUGGUCUGAGAGGACGAUCAGCCACACUGGGACUGAGACACGGCCCAGACUCCUACGGGAGGCAGCAGUGGGGAAUUUUGGACAAUGGGCGCAAGCCUGAUCCGGCAAUGCCGCGUGCAGGAUGAAGGCCUUCGUGUUGUAAACUGCUUUUGUACGGAACGAAAAGCCCCGGGUUAAUACCCUGGGGUCAUGACGGUACCGUAAGAAUAAGCACCGGCUAACUACGUGCCAGCCGCCGCAGUAA